UUUUUUUUUGCUUUUUAGGGCCACACCCAAGGCAUAGGGAGGGUCCCAGGCUAGGGGUCAAAUCAGAGCUACAGCUGCUGGCCUACACCACAGCCACAGCAAUGUGGGAUCCCAGCUAUGUCUGCAACCUACACCACAGAUCAUGGCAAUGCUGGGAUCUUUAACCCACUGAGUGAGGCCAGGGAUCUAAUGCUGCCAGGGAUCCGAUGUGCAACCUCAUGGUUCCUAGCGGGAUUCAUUUCCGCUGCACACAAUGGGGAACUCAUAGAGCUCUCCCUUUCUGAAAGCAUUAAGUGAAUUGUCAUAUUUACUUCUGGGAAAACCAUAAUGUUACAAAGUAUCUUUUUGGCCACACCCACGGCAUGCAGAAGUUCCCCACCUAGCCACCAAACCCGUGCCACAGCAGGGACAGCACCCCCUGAGCCACCAGGGAACUCCUACCAAGCAUCUGGCUUUUUUGUUGUUGUUGUUUCUUGUCCAUCAAUAGUGGACUAAAUAGUGCCCAAUGAUAUCUAAGUAAUUUGAAAAUGAUUAUGUAUUCAUUCGCUUGUUUCAAAAAGUAUAGAUACAUCAAGCAACUCUGAUGUGUUAGGGAUAACUUUGUUAAUCAACAGGCAAAGGGAGGAGCAGGGCCAUCACGAGUCAGUACCGCCAGGAGGCAGCGGGAUAGCUCGCCGGUGUUGUCGGCAGUCUGGCUCUCCAAGGCAUCCGUCCCCGUGGAUGAGAAGGACCCGGUGGGGAGGAGCGGAGGAAUCCACAGAGGGGACGGAAAGAACAAGUGGUGACGCAGGAGGGAGACCUGGGCGCCGAGGCUGCCUGGAGGCCAUGGAGGAAUGCACGCCAAAGGGAGAGUCUGGCAGCGUGGACAAGGCGCAUAGGUUGUGGGUUCAAUCCCUGGCCUCGCUCAGUGGGUUAAGGAUCCUGUGUUGCUCUGGCUGGCAUCCGUGGCUCCGAUUCAACCCCUAGCCUGGGAACCUCCCUGUGGGGCAGAUGUGGUCCUAAAAAGCACACACACACACACACACACACACACACAAAGUGAAGGCCAUAGUUGAGUUGAGGGCAAAGGCUGACAAGCGAGUUUGAGACAAGAGUUUAACAGAGCGGGAGACAGUGAUACAGACAACUCUAUCCUUUGGGGUUUUUUUAAUUAUUCUUUUUAAAUUUUUUAUAUUUAUUUAUUUAUUUUUAUUAAUGUAUAGAUGACUUACAAUGUUCAUGCCUGUAUUCUUUCUUUCUUUCUUUCUUUUUUUAUGUGUGUGUGUGUCUUUUCUAGGGCCACACCCACAGCACAUGGAGGUUCCCAGGCUAGGGGUCUAAUUGGAGCUGUAGCCUCCGGCCUAUACCAGAUCCGUAGCAACUCGAGAUCCGAGCCACAUCUGC
This 1383-nucleotide long non-coding RNA is filed under the name Sus scrofa (pig). RNAcentral describes it as "lncRNA (ENSSSCG00005043150.1)". Lineage: Eukaryota; Metazoa; Chordata; Mammalia; Artiodactyla; Suidae. The record is from RNAcentral.